This 89-nucleotide transfer RNA is filed under the name Dreissena polymorpha. It matches the Rfam family "tRNA". From Rfam's summary of the family: Transfer RNA (tRNA) molecules are approximately 80 nucleotides in length. The record is from Rfam by way of RNAcentral. Lineage: Eukaryota; Metazoa; Mollusca; Bivalvia; Myida; Dreissenidae.
GCCGGAAUAGCUCAGUUGGGAGAGCGAUAGACUGAAGGUAUAUACAUGCUGAAAUCUAAAGGCCCCCGGUUCAAUCCCGGGUUCCGGCA